AUGGGUGAUGUUGAGAAAGGCAAGAAGAAAUCUGUUUAGAAGUGUGCCCAGUGUCACAUCGUGGAAAAGGGAGGCAAGCGCAAGGCUGGGCCUCAUCUCCAUGGUCUCUUUGGGUGGAUGACAGGUCAGGCUGUUGGAUUCUCUUACACUGACGCCAGUGAGAAUAAAGGCAUCAACUAGGGGAAGGAUACACUGACAGAGUAUUUGUAGAAUCCCAAGAAGUACAUCCCUGGAACAAAAAUGAUCUUUGCCAGCAUUAAGAAGAAGACAGAAAGGGCAGACUUGAUAGCUUAUCUCAAAAAAGCUACUAAUGAGUAAUUUGACCAUGGCCUUAUUUAUCACAAAACAAAUCUCUCAUGACUUUUUUAUGUCUUUAAUAGAUCUCAUACACCAGAAUUCAGAUCAUGAAUGACUGACAGAAUAUUUUGUUGGGCAGUCCUGAUUUAAAACUAAGACUGGCUUAUGGUUAAAUGAAUAUGUUUAGUUUUUGAAUUUUAAUAGUAAUUACAAUUCAGUAAAUGCUAUCACUGUUUAUCCCUUCUAAAGAUAUGAUUAGACUUCCUUAGUAAUGUUCAGUUUUUCACAAAGAUGGUGAGUGCCAUCUUCAAACUUACUGAAGAUUGGUUUCAUAUUUAGAUUAUGUAACUGAUUGUGUGAAUAUAUUUAAAUACUGAGGAAAUUCCUUCACUGUCUCAGAACCAAGCAAGAUUCACCUGUGCUUUGUGUUCAUUUGCCUCUCAAAGGCAAGGGUUGAAGAUAAACAAGGUAGCAAUGUCUACUUUAUAUUUUUGGCCUUAACUAUGCCAAUCUGAUUAGAAUUCCCUAUAUUUAAAAUGGGUUCCUUUUACUUAUUGAAAGGCAUUUUAGUGUGGUUUAUGUGUAAUAUCAAAGAUUACUUAAUACUUCUCACAUUUAUAAGUGAUCUAUAAGGUCAUAUGUUUUAAAAUAGUAGUGAGUUAAACUUCACUCUUGAAUUCCUUAUAAUCUAAGUCAAACUGAGUUAUAAUUUAGGAUUGUCUUUAAAUAGCCAUUCAGAAAUAUAAAAUUAUAGAACUACUGUGUAUUUGUGAUUGGGAAUGGUGCUUUUGCCAACUUAAAAGGAUUAAAGUAGAGGAGAUAUACACAUAUUUUAAAAUUAUAUGUGACCAUAAGACUUAAGAUAAUUAAAAAGAAAACC
Non-coding RNA from Callithrix jacchus (white-tufted-ear marmoset), 1177 nucleotides. The record is from RefSeq and is a predicted model, not a curated record. Lineage: Eukaryota; Metazoa; Chordata; Mammalia; Primates; Cebidae.